UACGUAGGGUGCGAGCGUUGUCCGGAAUUAUUGGGCGUAAAGGGCUCGUAGGCGGUCUGUUGCGUCAGGAGUGAAAACUCGGGGCUUAACCCCGAGCCUGCUUCUGAUACGGGCAGACUAGAGGUAUGCAGGGGAGAACGGAAUUCCUGGUGUAGCGGUGAAAUGCGCAGAUAUCAGGAGGAACACCGGUGGCGAAGGCGGAUCUCUGGGCCGAUACUGACGCUGAGGAGCGAAAGCGUGGGGAGCGAACAGG
RNAcentral lists this ribosomal RNA (253 nucleotides) under uncultured bacterium. RNAcentral describes it as "partial 16S ribosomal RNA". It matches the Rfam family "Bacterial small subunit ribosomal RNA", at positions 524 to 776 of the family's 1533-position model. The record is from RNAcentral.